GACGAACGCUGGCGGCGUGCUUAACACAUGCAAGUCGAACGGAAAGGCCCUGAUCUUGCGGCGUGCUCGAGUGGCGCACAGGUGAGUAUAACGUGUGUAAACUGUCCUUCACUUUGGGGGAAAUUCAGGAAAAACGGGCUCUUAUACCAUAGGCGAUCCUGCUGCACGUUCUCGGCUGGUAAGAUUCUGCGGUUGGGGAUGGACUCGCGGCUUCUCAGCUUGUUGGUGGGGUAGUGGCUCACCAAGGCUCUGACGGGUAGCCGGCCUGAGAGGGUGACCGGCCACAUUGGGACUGAGAUACGGCCCAGACUCCUACGGGAGGCAGCAGUGGGGAAUAUUGCACAAUGGGCGGAAGCCUGAUGCAGCAACGCCGCGUGCGGGAUGACGGCCUUCGGGUUGUAAACCGCUUUCGCCAGGGACGAAGCGAGAGUGACGGUAAUUGGUAAAGAAGCACCGGCUAACUACGUG
RNAcentral lists this ribosomal RNA (468 nucleotides) under uncultured bacterium. Its description in RNAcentral is "partial 16S ribosomal RNA". It matches the Rfam family "Bacterial small subunit ribosomal RNA", at positions 28 to 507 of the family's 1533-position model. The record is from RNAcentral.